GGGAAUCAAACAUAAAUUUGCCAAUUGUUAGGUUGCUCAAACCUUUUGAUGAACUUUUUGUUGAUUCCAAGGAUUUUGAUCUAGUUGCUUUAGAGGAUUUCAUUCAAUCUUCGAGUGUUCCAAUUAUUACUACUUUCAACAAGGAUCCCAACAACCACCCUUACGUCAUAAAAUUCUUCAACAGUCCCAAUGCCAAAGCCAUGCUCUUUCUGGAUUUCAGCAAUGAGCAUAUUGAUGCUUUUAAAUCCAAGUAUCAUGAAGCUGCGGAGCAUAACAGAGGAAAUAACAUUAGCUUUCUUAUAGGCAAUCUUGAUGAUAGUAAAGCUGCUUUCCAAUAUUAUGGCCUUAAA
This 350-nucleotide unclassified non-coding RNA is filed under the name Hevea brasiliensis (rubber tree). The record is from RNAcentral. Lineage: Eukaryota; Viridiplantae; Streptophyta; Magnoliopsida; Malpighiales; Euphorbiaceae.